RNAcentral lists this ribosomal RNA (391 nucleotides) under uncultured bacterium. Its description in RNAcentral is "bacterial SSU rRNA". It matches the Rfam family "Bacterial small subunit ribosomal RNA", at positions 28 to 418 of the family's 1533-position model. The record is from RNAcentral.
GAUGAACGCUAGCGGCAGGCUUAAUACAUGCAAGUCGAGGGGCAGCACGGCAGCAAUGCUGGUGGCGACCGGCGCACGGGUGCGUAACGCGUAUGCAACCUACCUUUGACAGUGGGAUAGCCCCGAGAAAUCGGGAUUAAUACCGCAUAACAAUGCGAUUUGGCAUCAGAUUGCAUUUAAAACUCCGGUGGUCAAAGAUGGGCAUGCGUGACAUUAGCUGGUUGGUAAGGUAACGGCUUACCAAGGCGACGAUGUCUAGGGGUUCUGAGAGGAUUAACCCCCACACUGGUACUGAGACACGGACCAGACUCCUACGGGAGGCAGCAGUAAGGAAUAUUGGGCAAUGGACGCAAGUCUGACCCAGCCAUGCCGCGUGAAGGAUGAAGGGGCU